Non-coding RNA from Microcebus murinus (gray mouse lemur), 656 nucleotides. Lineage: Eukaryota; Metazoa; Chordata; Mammalia; Primates; Cheirogaleidae. The record is from RefSeq and is a predicted model, not a curated record.
UUCUCUGGAGCAUCCAGGAGCAACAGGCAUUCUUCAUUCUCCUCACCUUGGCACUGGAUCCAGGGACUUCUGUGACCACUGCUUUGGGUGGUAACGGGGUGGUAGGACUGGGUGUGGAUGACAGUGGAAGGUGGCUGGAGCCAUCGGAGAGCUUCAGGAGCACCACAGAAGCCACAUGCUUGGCAGGGAGGGCACUUUUCUUGUUGCAGAGCCUGGCGCAGGGCAGGAGGUGAGGCCCUCCCUGAGGCCCUGCGGUUAACGGAGGCCUCGCAGAAGGAUGGUAGAAGAUGGAUGCAGGGAGGAAGGAGCUUGUCGCUGCUGCACUGGAGGUCACCCCUGGGGACACUCCUACUAAUGAGAAGAAACAAAAGAGACCCUCAGAAUACUGAAGUCAGAAAUGGGCAACAUUUAACCAUGUGGGAACAUGAUGAAUGGAAAUCAGAUGCCUUCUGAUGCCUAGCCACCCAGUGAACAUCUUUUUAUAAAUAGAAAUGAGUUUCUUGGCCAAUAAAGGAACGGAAGAACUAAUAGCGGUCAGUUACAAGGCGAGACCUGCACUGGGCCCUGAGUGUGCAGCCGCCGUGAGGGAGCAGCACGGAGGAGCUGCCCUCUUCCGCCAGUGAGGACAGCGCCACUCCCGCUCGCGUGGGCGUGGC